UGGGGAAUAUUGGACAAUGGGCGCAAGCCUGAUCCAGCAAUGCCGCGUGAGUGAUGAAGGCCUUAGGGUUGUAAAGCUCUUUCGCACGCGACGAUGAUGACGGUAGCGUGAGAAGAAGCCCCGGCUAACUUCGUGCCAGCAGCCGCGGUAAUACGAAGGGGGCUAGCGUUGUUCGGAAUUACUGGGCGUAAAGGGCGCGUAGGCGGCCUGUUUAGUCAGAAGUGAAAGCCCCGGGCUCAACCUGGGAAUAGCUUUUGAUACUGGCAGGCUUGAGUUCCGGAGAGGAUGGUGGAAUUCCCAGUGUAGAGGUGAAAUUCGUAGAUAUCGGGAAGAACACCGGUGGCGAAGGCGGCCAUCUGGACGGACA
Molecule: ribosomal RNA, 367 nt
Filed under: uncultured bacterium
Lineage: Bacteria
Description: partial 16S ribosomal RNA
Rfam family: Bacterial small subunit ribosomal RNA
Source: RNAcentral